UAUGUAGGGGGCUAGCGUUGUCCGGAAUCAUUGGGCGUAAAGCGCGUGUAGGCGGUCCGGUAAGUCCGCUGUGAAAGUCGGGGGCUCAACCCUCGGAUGCCGGUGGAUACUGUCGGGCUUGAGUACGGAAGAGGCGAGUGGAAUUCCUGGUGUAGCGGUGAAAUGCGCAGAUAUCAGGAGGAACACCAAUUGCGAAGGCAGCUCGCUGGGACGUUACUGACGCUGAGACGCGAAAGCGUGGGGAGCAAACAGG
This 253-nucleotide ribosomal RNA is filed under the name uncultured bacterium. RNAcentral's name for it is "partial 16S ribosomal RNA". It matches the Rfam family "Bacterial small subunit ribosomal RNA", at positions 524 to 776 of the family's 1533-position model. The record is from RNAcentral.